CUACCUUGUUACGACACCCACAGUCAUGAAUCCUACCGUGGUAAUCGCCCUCUUACGGUUAGGCUAACACCUUCUGGUAAAAAAACCCACUCCGCCGGUGUGACGGGCGGUGUCGUACGGGCGAACGUAUUCACCGCGACAUGCUGAUCCGCGUUACUAGCGAUUCCGACUUCACCGCGAUCCGAGUUGCAAUUCACGAUCCGGACUACGAUCGGGUUUCUGGGAUUGGCUCCCCCUCGCGGGUUGGCGACCCUCUGUUCGACCCAUUGUAUGACGGUAAUGGAAGCCCCAUAAGGCCAUGGGGACUUUCGACGUCAUCCCACGCCCUCGGUUCGUCACCGGCAGUCUCAUUGGAAAUUGUAACUAAGUAACAACUAAUGACAAGGGGUUGCCUUCGUUGCGGGACUUAACCCAACAUCUCUCCACGACACGAGCUGACGACAGCCAUACCUUUAUGUUGAUUCUGUUGCGAGCACUCCCCAAAUCUCUUCAGUUCCAGACAUGUCAAGGGUAGGUAAGGGUUUUUCGCGCGUUAUCGAAUUAAUCCAUCAAUACCGCUUGUGCGGGUCCCGAUAAUUCUUUGAGUUUUAAUCUGCGACCGUACUCCCCAGGCGAUUAACCGCGUUAGCUGCGCUAUAGAGCCCGAAGGCCCAACAGCUAGUUGACAUCGUUUGAGGGCGUGGACUACCGGGUAAUAAUCCUGUUUGCUCCCCACGCUUUCGUGCAUGAGCGUCAGUGUUAUCCCGGAGGCUGCCUUCGCCAUCGGUGUUCCUCCGCAUAUCUACGCAUUUCACUGCUACACGCGGAAUUCCACCUCCCUCUGACACACUCUAGCUCGGUGAUUAAAAAUGCAGUUCCAAAGUUAAGCUCUGGGAUUCCAUCUUUCUUUCCGAACCGCCUGCAUACGCUUUACGCCCAAUUCUGAUUAACGCUUGCACCUACGUAUUACCGCGGCUGCUGGCUGCUGGUUAUCGGUCUGCUUAUUCUGCAGGUAUAAUCGUUGCACAGGCCGUUAUCGUGCCGUUUCUUUCUGCCAAAAUUCUUUGCUUGAGGAGCCCUUCAUCGCACACGCGGGAUGGCUGGAUAAGUUUCCCCAUUAUCCAAAAUUCCACUGUACCUCGGCGAAUGCGGGCAUCUCGGUCCAGUGUGGCUGGUCGUCCUCUCAAACCAACUACGAGAUCGUCUUAACCGGUGACCGUUACCCCACAACUAGCUAAUCCGAUAUCAGCGCUCUAAUAGUGCAGAGGCUGAAGGUCCCCGCUUUCCCCCGAAGGGCAUGCGGUAUUGCUUCUGCUCGCGUAGUUAUCCCCCGCUACUAGGCACGUUCCGAUACAUUACUCACCCGUU
This 1347-nucleotide ribosomal RNA is filed under the name uncultured Bordetella sp. Its description in RNAcentral is "partial 16S-23S ribosomal RNA intergenic spacer". The record is from RNAcentral. Lineage: Bacteria; Pseudomonadati; Pseudomonadota; Betaproteobacteria; Burkholderiales; Alcaligenaceae.